Molecule: ribosomal RNA, 266 nt
Filed under: Eimeria sp. Bat28
Lineage: Eukaryota; Apicomplexa; Conoidasida; Eucoccidiorida; Eimeriidae
Description: partial 18S ribosomal RNA
Rfam family: Eukaryotic small subunit ribosomal RNA
Source: RNAcentral
AGUUUCGAGGUAGUGACGAGAUUAACAAUACAGGGCAUUUUAUGCUCUGUAAUUGGAAUGAUGGGAAUGUAAAACCCUUCCAGAGUAACAAUUGGAGGGCAAGUCUGGUGCCAGCAGCCGCGGUAAUUCCAGCUCCAAUAGUGUAUAUUAGAGUUGUUGCAGUUAAAAAGCUCGUAGUUGGAUUUCUGCCGUGGUCUGCCGGCUCCGCCCAGUAUUGGGUGCGAGCGUGGUUUGGCCUCGGCAUUUUCCCGGUAGCCUUCCGCGUG